GGGUUGUGGCUCAGUGGUAGAGUGCUCGCCUAGCAUGUGCGAAGUGCUGGGUUCAAGACCCUGCCUCA
RNAcentral lists this transfer RNA (68 nucleotides) under Marmota monax (woodchuck). RNAcentral's name for it is "tRNA.Ala". Lineage: Eukaryota; Metazoa; Chordata; Mammalia; Rodentia; Sciuridae. The record is from RNAcentral.